CCUGUGAACAUACCAAUUGUUGCCUCGGCGGAUCAGCCCGCUCCCGGUAAAACGGGACGGCCCGCCAGAGGACCCCUAAACUCUGUUUCUAUAUGUAACUUCUGAGUAAAACCAUAAAUAAAUCAAAACUUUCAACAACGGAUCUCUUGGUUCUGGCAUCGAUGAAGAACGCAGCAAAAUGCGAUAAGUAAUGUGAAUUGCAGAAUUCAGUGAAUCAUCGAAUCUUUGAACGCACAUUGCGCCCGCCAGUAUUCUGGCGGGCAUGCCUGUUCGAGCGUCAUUUCAACCCUCAAGCCCAGCUUGGUGUUGGGACUCGCGAGUCAAAUCGCGUUCCCCAAAUUGAUUGGCGGUCACGUCGAGCUUCCAUAGCGUAGUAGUAAAACCCUCGUUACUGGUAAUCGUCGCGGCCACGCCGUUAAACCCCAACUUCUGAAUGUUGACCUCGGAUCAGGUAGGAAUACCCGCUGAACUUAAGCAUAUCAAUAAGCGG
Molecule: ribosomal RNA, 490 nt
Filed under: Fusarium verticillioides
Lineage: Eukaryota; Fungi; Ascomycota; Sordariomycetes; Hypocreales; Nectriaceae
Description: eukaryotic LSU rRNA
Rfam family: 5.8S ribosomal RNA (bases 127-280)
Source: RNAcentral